Molecule: ribosomal RNA, 517 nt
Filed under: uncultured bacterium
Lineage: Bacteria
Description: bacterial SSU rRNA
Rfam family: Bacterial small subunit ribosomal RNA
Source: RNAcentral
ACGAACGGCUGGCGGCGUGCCUAAUACAUGCAAGUCGAACGGUCUUUCUAUGGAAGCUUGCUUCCACUGAGAAGAUAGUGGCGAACGGGUGAGUAACACGUGGGUAACCUGCCCAUAAGAGGGGGAUAACAUCCGGAAACGGGUGCUAAUACCGCAUAGUUUUCUUGAUCGCAUGAUUGAGAAAGGAAAGACGGCCUUUGUGCUGUCGCUUAUGGAUGGACCCGCGGCGUAUUAGUUAGUUGGUGAGGUAACGGCUCACCAAGACGAUGAUACGUAGCCGACCUGAGAGGGUGAUCGGCCACAUUGGGACUGAGACACGGCCCAAACUCCUACGGGAGGCAGCAGUAGGGAAUCUUCCGCAAUGGACGAAAGUCUGACGGAGCAACGCCGCGUGAGUGAAGAAAGGUUUUCGGAUCGUAAAACUCUGUUGUCAGAGAAGAACAAGUUGGAGAGUAACUGCUCCAGCCUUGACGGUAUCUGACCAGAAAGCCACGGCUAACUACGUGCCAGCAGCGGC